AGGGGUGUAGUUCAGUUGGUAGAACGACGGUCUCCAAAACCGUAUGCCGUGGGUUCAAGUCCUGCCACCCCUGCCA
Molecule: transfer RNA, 76 nt
Filed under: Alkalithermobacter paradoxus
Lineage: Bacteria; Bacillati; Bacillota; Clostridia; Peptostreptococcales; Tepidibacteraceae
Also listed under: 1 other name
Description: [Clostridium] thermoalcaliphilum tRNA-Trp
Rfam family: tRNA
About the family: Transfer RNA (tRNA) molecules are approximately 80 nucleotides in length. Their secondary structure includes four short double-helical elements and three loops (D, anti-codon, and T loops).
Source: RNAcentral